GACGAACGCUGGCGGCGUGCUUAACACAUGCAAGUCGAACGGAAAGGCCCUGCUUUUGUGGGGUGCUCGAGUGGCGAACGGGUGAGUAACACGUGAGUAACCUGCCCUUGACUUUGGGAUAACUUCAGGAAACUGGGGCUAAUACCGUAUAGGAGCUCCUGCUGCAUGGUGGGGGUGGGAAAUUUUCGGCGGUUGGGGAUGGACGCGCGGCUUAUCAGCUUGUUGGUGGGGUAGUGGCUUACCAAGGCUUUGACGGGUAGCCGGCCUGAGAGGGUGACCGGCCACAUUGGGACUGAGAUACGGCCCAGACUCCUACGGGAGGCAGCAGUGGGGAAUAUUGCACAAUGGGCGGAAGCCUGAUGCAGCAACGCCGCGUGCGGGAUGACGGCCUUCGGGUUGUAAACCGCUUUCGCCUGUGACGAAGCGUGAGUGACGGUAAUGGGUAAAGAAGCACCGGCUAACUACGUG
RNAcentral lists this ribosomal RNA (468 nucleotides) under uncultured bacterium. Its description in RNAcentral is "partial 16S ribosomal RNA". It matches the Rfam family "Bacterial small subunit ribosomal RNA", at positions 28 to 507 of the family's 1533-position model. The record is from RNAcentral.